UGUUUAUCAUCUUUCAAUAAACAAAAUUUGUAAUUUUAUUCUUUUUAUAAUUUCGUGGAUUCCAAAUUCGUGUUCUUAAAAUUUUUGCUUGAAUUCCUUGUUUCAUAUUGCAUUAGAUGGAAAAGUGAUUGAAAUUGCUAUCCUUUGUAGCACUUUUGAGUGGAAUAAUAUAUUUCAGCAUGCAAACAUGUUGGCAAAAUAUGGGUGUAAAUGAGCAAGGCCUAGUUGAGCUGUCUUUAGGUUGUCCAAGCUUUAUUCUUCGAGCCAGAGUGGGGGCUCAAUUCAGCAAUACAGGAUGCCCCUGCAUAACUUCCCGAAGUAUUUCCCAUACAAUUGGUUCUUUUUCCCCAAUUUUACUCUUAGCAACUCCCCGAAAAUACUGUGACGUGCUCGAAAAUGGUCGAAGUAGUUGAACAGGAGGAUCACUAUGACUAGCUUGAGGGUAAUGUAAUUAUCUGUGAGGCAAACAAAUGGAGUCCUGAACUAGCUGCUGCUAUACAUACGUAUCUGUAGAAAUUCAAAACUAAUCCUGGUGCUUGCAACAGGUCACUUGCUAUAUCUUUGCUAGCUACUGUGGAUGUAUUUUGAAAGGCUUGGUUCCAUUUCAUUAGAUGCAGUGUUAGAUUUAAAAUAGUACAGAAAAUGAUUCAUGCAGUAAUUCCUUUUUUAAAUGGGAAUAAGGCGUAGUUUGUUCUUUGAUUUUGUUGUAUUGACAUUAGUUGUUACAGAUAAACUAAACCUUUUUGUAAGAAUGUUUAGGAGUUGUUUAUAAAUGGUUUAUAUAAUAAAUAGAUAGAAAUGAAUAAGUGAGUAGUACUUGUGGGUCUCACGAAAUAUGUGAAUAAAAAUACAUACAGUAAGUCCUUUUUUAAAUGGGAAUAAGGCGUAGCUUGUUCUUUGAUUUUGUUGUAUGGACAUUAGUUGUUACAGAUAAACUAAAUCUUUUUGUAAGAAUGUUUAAGAGUUGUUUAUAAAUAGUUUGUAUAAUAAAUAGAUAGAAAUGAACAAGUGAGUAGUACUUGUGGGUCUCACGAAAUAUGUGAAUGAAAAUAGUUUGACUAAUUAUAAGUAGUUAAUAAACAAUAGCUAAAUAUGGGCUAAGUUAAAGAAAAACUGUACAAAAUAGAGUACGACGGGCACUCUGACUGGUCAAAGUCUUGUGACCAAAAAUGCACUUUACUCUGUUUUGAUUAUUGAGACAUUUAUUUCAGCUAAAGCUCACCGCUUAAAAUUUUGGCACCGAUUUUCUAACCAGUGUUUUCUUUUUUACCAAUGGCUUGAUAAUCUGAUAUGCUCAUUUGAAUUGCAGAGAAAGAUGGAGAAAUCAAAGACAGGCAUCUUCUCUGUGUACCUAAAGCUGUAUCCGGGUAAAUAUGAGAUCAAGUUUAUUGUUGAUGGCAUAUGGAAAGUUGAUCCUCUACGCCCCAUUGUCCACAAUAAUGGCUAUGAAAAUAACCUUCUGAUUAUCACAUGAAGGCACAAAAUUAUGCAGGCAGAAGGAUGAUCAUUUUACAAACCUUUAGUUUGCAUCAUGUAUUUUACUAAUUAUAAUUCUUUUGACAUCACCCUAUUUCUGUUCUUUGUAUAGUGUAUAUUGGCCGUGAUGGAUCAAUUGUUAUUCUUAGACCAAAUUCUCAUUUGGUCUGUCUGUUACUUAUUUUUGUUGGUAUGGAUGGGUCUGUUGUGGUUGGUUCUCUCUUUUGUACAUGUUUUUGUUUAUUGAAAUGAAAUACAAGCUUAGGAGGGGGCUUGAUCUUA
Molecule: long non-coding RNA, 1758 nt
Organism: Olea europaea var. sylvestris
Lineage: Eukaryota; Viridiplantae; Streptophyta; Magnoliopsida; Lamiales; Oleaceae
Exons: 2
Source: RefSeq, a predicted model, not a curated record